AAAAGAAUUAAUAAUUUUUAUUAUAGUUUAUUAGGUAUUGUAAAAGAAUUUUGAAAUAAUUGAAAAAUAUAUAAUUUUUAAGAAGGCUUAAUUUGGUGUACCUUGUGUAUCAGGGUUUAUUAAAUAUAUUUUUUGUAAAAAUUAAUCUCGAAAGAAAAGGAUAUAAAAAAAUAUAAUAGUUAAUGUUACAUAAUUAUUAUUAAUAUUUUUUUUGUAAUGAGAUGUUAUCCGGUUUUUCUGAUAUCUAGUUUUUUAAGAAAUAAAUUUAAUUUAGUUACUAUAAAUUUAUUAAUUUAUUUAAAUAAUAUAAUUAUUUUUAUAGUAAUAUUAUUUAACGGGAUGAGCUGUUAAAUAAAUUUUUAUAAUCUUUUUUUUUGUUAAUUUAUAAAUAUAUGCUUGGAAUUAGCAAUUAUUAAUAAAUUUGUUAUAAUUUAUAUUUUAUUAUGAAUAUUUAUUAAGAUUUAAUUGUUUUAUUAAAAUGUUUAACAGAAUUUUUAAGUUAAAUUAAUAAUGAUAAAAUUAGUAUAUUAUUUUUGUAAAAAUUUUUUAUAAUGAUAGGUUUAGUUAAGGAAUUCGGCAAAUAUUAUUUUCGCCUGUUUAACAAAAACAUGUCUUUUUGAGUUUAAUUUAAAGUCUAAUCUGCCCGCUGAUAAUAUAAAUUGAAUGGCCGCAGUAUUUUAACUGUGCAAAGGUAGCAUAAUCAUUAGUCUUUUAAUUGAGGUCUGGAAUGAAUGAUUGGACGAGAUAUAAUCUGUCUCAUUAUAAAUUUAAAUUAAAAUUUUAUUUUUUAGUCAAAAAGCUAAAAUUAAUUUAAAAGACGAGAAGACCCUAUAGAUCUUUAUAUUUGUAGUAUAACUUACUAUUUUAGAAAAUUUAAGUAAUUAUAUUUAUAAGUAUUUUGUUGGGGUGACAUUGAAAUUUAUAAAACUUUUGAUUAAUAUAAAACAUAUAUUAAUGAUUUAAAUUUGAUCCUGUAAUAUGGAUAAAAAAAAUAAGUUACCUUAGGGAUAACAGCGUAAUUAUUUCGGAGAGUUCAUAUUGAUGAAAUAGAUUGCGACCUCGAUGUUGGAUUAAGAUUAAUAAUAGGGGCAGUUUCUUAUUAUAUUAAGUCUGUUCGACUUUUAAAUUCUUACAUGAUCUGAGUUCAAACCGGCGUGAGCCAGGUUGGUUUCUAUCUUUAAAUAUUUAUAAUAUUUUAGUACGAAAGGACCAAAUAUUAAAAUUUUUUUUUAAAAAAGUUGAAUUUAAUUAACA
Molecule: ribosomal RNA, 1254 nt
Filed under: Argyra pingwuensis
Lineage: Eukaryota; Metazoa; Arthropoda; Insecta; Diptera; Dolichopodidae
Description: 16S ribosomal RNA
Rfam family: Archaeal large subunit ribosomal RNA (bases 811-1181)
Source: RNAcentral